GCCCCGGUAGCUCAGCGGUAGAGCGGCCGCCUUGUAAGCGGCAGGUCGCGGGUUCGACCCCCGCCCGGGGCU
RNAcentral lists this transfer RNA (72 nucleotides) under Candidatus Caldarchaeum sp. RNAcentral's name for it is "tRNA-Thr". It matches the Rfam family "tRNA". Rfam says of the family: Transfer RNA (tRNA) molecules are approximately 80 nucleotides in length. Their secondary structure includes four short double-helical elements and three loops (D, anti-codon, and T loops). The record is from RNAcentral. Lineage: Archaea; Thermoproteati; Nitrososphaerota; Candidatus Caldarchaeales; Candidatus Caldarchaeaceae.